RNAcentral lists this ribosomal RNA (480 nucleotides) under uncultured bacterium. RNAcentral's name for it is "bacterial SSU rRNA". It matches the Rfam family "Bacterial small subunit ribosomal RNA", at positions 30 to 507 of the family's 1533-position model. The record is from RNAcentral.
AUUGAACGCUGGCGGAAUACUUUACACAUGCAAGUCGAACGGUAGAGGGGGCAACCCCUUGAGAGUGGCGAACGGGUGAGUAAUAUAUCGGAACGUGCCCAGUCGUGGGGGAUAACGUAGCGAAAGUUACGCUAAUACCGCAUACGAUCUAAGGAUGAAAGCGGGGGAUCGCAAGACCUCGCGCGAUUGGAGCGGCCGAUAUCAGAUUAGGUAGUUGGUGGGGUAAAGGCUCACCAAGCCAACGAUCUGUAGCUGGUCUGAGAGGACGACCAGCCACACUGGAACUGAGACACGGUCCAGACUCCUACGGGAGGCAGCAGUGGGGAAUUUUGGACAAUGGACGAAAGUCUGAUCCAGCCAUUCCGCGUGCAGGAUGAAGGCCCUCGGGUUGUAAACUGCUUUUGUACGGAACGAAAAGGUCUCUAUUAAUACUAGGGGCUCAUGACGGUACCGUAAGAAUAAGCACCGGCUAACUACGUG